This 1131-nucleotide ribosomal RNA is filed under the name Sordariomycetes sp. genotype 251. Its description in RNAcentral is "eukaryotic LSU rRNA". The stretch from base 541 to 1131 matches the Rfam family "Eukaryotic large subunit ribosomal RNA", at positions 1 to 603 of the family's 3401-position model. Lineage: Eukaryota; Fungi; Ascomycota; Sordariomycetes. The record is from RNAcentral.
GGAUCAUUGCUGGAACACGUCCUACGGGCGUACCCAGAAACCCUUUGUGAACUUAUAAGACCCCAUCGUUGCCUCGGCAAGGCUGGGGGACGUCACGUCCCCCCCGCCCCCCUCCCGGCUCGCCGGGAGAAAGGCGGAGCAGGUCUGCCGGUGGCCCUUCUAUAAACUCUUGUUUACCUUACGUAUUACCUCUGAGUAUUAAACAAAAACAAAUGAAUCAAAACUUUCAACAACGGAUCUCUUGGUUCUGGCAUCGAUGAAGAACGCAGCGAAAUGCGAUAAGUAAUGUGAAUUGCAGAAUUCAGUGAAUCAUCGAAUCUUUGAACGCACAUUGCGCCCGCUGGAAUUCCGGCGGGCAUGCCUGUUCGAGCGUCAUUUCAACCCUCAAGCUCUGCUUGGUGUUGGGGCACAGCCUUUCAUAGGGCUGGCCCUGAAAUCCAGUGGCGGGCUCGCUAAGACUCCGAGCGUAGUAAUUUUCUCUUCGCUAUGGAAGGACUGGCGGUGCUCUUGCCGUAAAACCCCCCCAAUUUUUUUACUGGUUGACCUCGGAUCAGGUAGGAAUACCCGCUGAACUUAAGCAUAUCAAUAAGCGGAGGAAAAGAAACCAACAGGGAUUGCCCUAGUAACGGCGAGUGAAGCGGCAACAGCUCAAAUUUGAAAUCUGGCUUCGGCCCGAGUUGUAAUUUGCAGAGGAUGCUUUUGGUGCGGUGCCUUCCGAGUUCCCUGGAACGGGACGCCACAGAGGGUGAGAGCCCCGUAUGGUCGGACACCAAUCCUGUGUAAAGCUCCUUCGACGAGUCGAGUAGUUUGGGAAUGCUGCUCUAAAUGGGAGGUAAAUCUCUUCUAAAGCUAAAUACCGGCCAGAGACCGAUAGCGCACAAGUAGAGUGAUCGAAAGAUGAAAAGCACCUUGAAAAGGGGGUUAAACAGUACGUGAAAUUGUUGAAAGGGAAGCACUUGUGACCAGACUUGGGCCGGGCGGCUCAUCAGGGGUUCUCCCCUGUGCAUUCCGCCCGGUACAGGCCAGCAUCGGUUCUUACCGGGGGAUAAGAACGGCAGGAACGUGGCUCCCUCUCGGGGGAGUGUUAUAGCCUGCCGUACGAUACCCUGGCGGGGACCGAGGUCGCGCUCC